Molecule: long non-coding RNA, 763 nt
Organism: Asparagus officinalis (garden asparagus)
Lineage: Eukaryota; Viridiplantae; Streptophyta; Magnoliopsida; Asparagales; Asparagaceae
Exons: 3
Source: RefSeq, a predicted model, not a curated record
CUGAUGUUUUUCUAGCUAGUCCGUUUGUUGGAAACUAUAUUGACUGAGGCUCCAGUUUGCCUACCCAAAAAUUAAAACUAAUGAAAUAAUCGCGAAAGCAUCUCACGAGUCAUAAGUGUUUCGAUGUUCAACCUGGUUAUAGCAAUUUGUCAUGUAAGCAGUUGUUCAAUAUCGCGGUUGAAGGAUUCCAUUGAGCUCAGUUAUGUUCAAUAAGGAUUCUUGAAUAAUUCCUAAAAACUACGCAACCGUGAUCAAUGACUCUUAAAUCUAAUUCCAUUGAGCUCAGUUAUGCUCUCUUCUCGGCAAUCUUGUCGACCUUGAGGCCGCUGUUUGCCUAUGCACAACAGUGAAACUCAACCUUCUCGGCCUCAACCUCAAUCUAUCUACUCAUACUUUAUGAUUUCAGGGGAAAUGCACCUCCAAACAAUACCAGCAUAUAUUGCACUUGUAACGCACUCUGCUUGAAACGAAUGAAGCUUGUUUCUGCCUAUUUGCUUGCCGUGCUCGGUGGAAACACUUGUCCAUCUUCGGACAAUUUUAAGGAUAUCCUAGGCACAGAACAAGGACAAGAUUGCAUCAAGUUCAGGCAUGAACACAAGAUGUAACUGCACGAAGUCCCACUGUCGGAAACAUUAUUGUGAAUGUUAUAAUGUAAUUAGGGUGAUGCGACGGAUUUUAUUCAUGCCGAAUGUUAUAAUGUAAACAAUUUAUGUAUCUCUCUAUUAUUUUGGUGAAUGUAUUAUUUGAAUAUAAUUAGAUUUUA